Molecule: transfer RNA, 69 nt
Filed under: Rattus norvegicus (Norway rat)
Lineage: Eukaryota; Metazoa; Chordata; Mammalia; Rodentia; Muridae
Rfam family: tRNA
About the family: Transfer RNA (tRNA) molecules are approximately 80 nucleotides in length. Their secondary structure includes four short double-helical elements and three loops (D, anti-codon, and T loops).
Source: Rfam by way of RNAcentral
GGGGAUUUAGCUCAGCGGUAGAGCGCUUGCCUAGCAAGCGCGAGGCCCUGGGUUCAGUCCCCAGCUCCG